This 235-nucleotide ribosomal RNA is filed under the name uncultured bacterium. Its description in RNAcentral is "partial 16S ribosomal RNA". It matches the Rfam family "Bacterial small subunit ribosomal RNA", at positions 118 to 351 of the family's 1533-position model. The record is from RNAcentral.
UGAGCAAUCUGCCCUUCUCAUCGGAAUAAGCGUUGGAAACGACGUCUAAUGCCGAAUACGACCUCCUUUCGCAUGAUCGGAGGUGGAAAGCUCCGGCGGAGAAGGAUGAGCUCGCGGCCUAUCAGCUAGUUGGUGUGGGUAAUGGCCCACCAAGGCGACGACGGGUAGCCGGCCUGAAAGGGUGACCGGCCACACUGGGACUGAGACACGGCCCAGACCGUCCUACGGGAGGNAG